GAUGAGGUGGCCGAGAGGUUAAGGCGAUGGACUGCUAAUCCAUUGUGCUCUGCACGCGUGGGUUCGACGUCCCUCAUCG
This 79-nucleotide transfer RNA is filed under the name Ameiurus melas (black bullhead). It matches the Rfam family "tRNA". From Rfam's summary of the family: Transfer RNA (tRNA) molecules are approximately 80 nucleotides in length. Their secondary structure includes four short double-helical elements and three loops (D, anti-codon, and T loops). The record is from Rfam by way of RNAcentral. Lineage: Eukaryota; Metazoa; Chordata; Actinopteri; Siluriformes; Ictaluridae.